This 72-nucleotide non-coding RNA is filed under the name unclassified sequences. The record is from Rfam.
GUUAUGGGGGUGCGGGUAGCAGCAAUGCCCCGGACGCUACUGUAAGUGCGUUAGGACACCCCUGCCCAAUUU